UACGUAGGGUGCAAGCGUUAAUCGGAAUUACUGGGCGUAAAGCGUGCGCAGGCGGUUAUGUAAGACAGAUGUGAAAUGCCCGGGCUUAACCUGGGAACUGCAUUUGUGACUGCAUGGCUAGAGUUUGGCAGAGGGGGGUAGAAUUCCACGUGUAGCAGUGAAAUGCGUAGAUAUGUGGAGGAACACCGAUGGCGAAGGGCAGCCCCCUGGGUCAAGACUGACGCUCAUGCACGAAAGGCGUGGGGAGCAAACGAGGAUUAGAGUACCCC
This 269-nucleotide ribosomal RNA is filed under the name uncultured bacterium. Its description in RNAcentral is "partial 16S ribosomal RNA". It matches the Rfam family "Bacterial small subunit ribosomal RNA", at positions 524 to 788 of the family's 1533-position model. The record is from RNAcentral.